CUUCCCAAAGUGCUGGGAUUACAGACAUGAGCCACCCCACUCAGCUUUGUUUCCUUCAUGUAGCCCAGAGGGCGACACUAUAAGCCCCAUUUUACAGAUGAGAAAACUGAGAUCCCGACAGAUGAGGUGACUUGCUGGAAGCUGCAGACCCAGGACUAACAGAAGCCUUUUCCCCAAAACUGUUUAGUCUUCAGCAACCAGCUAUGGGAUGGGAGCUCCCCAUUUCUCCCCACCCAUCCCCUCUUGCCACCUAGGGACAGAGCUGUCCCAGUUCAACAGUGGAAAAACAGAGCAUGCCCCCAGGGAUAAGUCGGUUGAGGGACUACAGAGGAUCUCUCCUCUGGAAUCCCCAGUCCUGUCUACUCCUCACCAAGGAGCUCACCCCCACCCCAGGGCUUCCUGAGGCUGCGGUGGUCACGCUUCGCCCGUGUCCUCCUCACCCGCUCCUGCGCCAUCCUGCCCACCGUGCUCGUGGCUGUCUUCCGGGACCUGAGGGACUUGUCGGGCCUCAAUGAUCUGCUCAACGUGCUGCAGAGCCUGCUGCUCCCGUUCGCCGUGCUGCCCAUCCUCACGUUCACCAGCAUGCCCACCCUCAUGCAGGAGUUUGCCAAUGGCCUGUGAGUACCCCCUUUCCUAAGUGCUGGAUUGCAUCACCACAUUUCAUCCUCACAGCCACCCAGAGGUACGAGCUACAAUUCUCCCCAUUAUCCCAAUGAAGCCACAGAGGCUGAGAGAGGUUAAGGGACUUGCCCAGGUUCACACAGCUAGCAAGUUGGGGAGCCAAGACUGGAAUCCAGGGCAGAGGGCUGUUUCUAGAGCCUGAGCUCCUCACUCUCGCCUCAGACUCAGCUCUUGCCAAAUCCCGCCAGUGUGUAGCCUGGAGGGCCCAGGAGGCAGGAGGUGGGGAGGGGGUCUGUCUGCUCCAGGUCCCACAGCCCAGAGAAGUGGCCUCGGUGUAUCCCCACCCACAAUGUGGGCGCUGGGAGAUGAAGAGGAGUUGAUGCAGGUGGGCCAGCAGCAACCAGCCAGUCCUGAGCCUCUCUCGUGUCCCCCAGGCUG
This 1059-nucleotide small RNA is filed under the name Pan troglodytes (chimpanzee). RNAcentral describes it as "retained intron". The record is from RNAcentral. Lineage: Eukaryota; Metazoa; Chordata; Mammalia; Primates; Hominidae.